GUGUGACUGCGUACCUUUUGUAUAAUGGGUCAGCGACUUAUAUUCUGUAGCAAGGUUAACCGAAUAGGGGAGCCGAAGGGAAACCGAGUCUUAACUGGGCGUUAAGUUGCAGGGUAUAGACCCGAAACCCGGUGAUCUAGCCAUGGGCAGGUUGAAGGUUGGGUAACACUAACUGGAGGACCGAACCGACUAAUGUUGAAAAAUUAGCGGAUGACUUGUGGCUGGGGGUGAAAGGCCAAUCAAACCGGGAGAUAGCUGGUUCUCCCCGAAAGCUAUUUAGGUAGCGCCUCGUGAAUUCAUCUCCGGGGGUAGAGCACUGUUUCGGCAAGGGGGUCAUCCCGACUUACCAACCCGAUGCAAACUGCGAAUACCGGAGAAUGUUAUCACGGGAGACACACGGCGGGUGCUAACGUCCGUCGUGAAGAGGGAAACAACCCAGACCGCCAGCUAAGGUCCCAAAGUCAUGGUUAAGUGGGAAACGAUGUGGGAAGGCCCAGACAGCCAGGAUGUUGGCUUAGAAGCAGCCAUCAUUUAAAGAAAGCGUAAUAGCUCACUGGUCGAGUCGGCCUGCGCGGAAGAUGUAACGGGGCUAAACCAUGCACCGAAGCUGCGGCAGCGACACUAUGUGUUGUUGGGUAGGGGAGCGUUCUGUAAGCCUGUGAAGGUGUACUGUGAGGUAUGCUGGAGGUAUCAGAAGUGCGAAUGCUGACAUAAGUAACGAUAAAGCGGGUGAAAAGCCCGCUCGCCGGAAGACCAAGGGUUCCUGUCCAACGUUAAUCGGGGCAGGGUGAGUCGACCCCUAAGGCGAGGCCGAAAGGCGUAGUCGAUGGGAAACAGGUUAAUAUUCCUGUACUUGGUGUUACUGCGAAGGGGGGACGGAGAAGGCUAUGUUGGCCGGGCGACGGUUGUCCCGGUUUAAGCGUGUAGGCUGGUUUUCCAGGCAAAUCCGGAAAAUCAAGGCUGAGGCGUGAUGACGAGGCACUACGGUGCUGAAGCAACAAAUGCCCUGCUUCCAGGAAAAGCCUCUAAGCAUCAGGUAACAUCAAAUCGUACCCCAAACCGACACAGGUGGUCAGGUAGAGAAUACCAAGGCGCUUGAGAGAACUCGGGUGAAGGAACUAGGCAAAAUGGUGCCGUAACUUCGGGAGAAGGCACGCUGAUACGUAGGUGAAGUCCCUCGCGGAUGGAGCUGAAAUCAGUCGAAGAUACCAGCUGGCUGCAACUGUUUAUUAAAAACACAGCACUGUGCAAACACGAAAGUGGACGUAUACGGUGUGACGCCUGCCCGGUGCCGGAAGGUUAAUUGAUGGGGUCAGCGCAAGCGAAGCUCUUGAUCGAAGCCCCGGUAAACGGCGGCCGUAACUAUAACGGUCCUAAGGUAGCGAAAUUCCUUGUCGGGUAAGUUCCGACCUGCACGAAUGGCGUAAUGAUGGCCAGGCUGUCUCCACCCGAGACUCAGUGAAAUUGAACUCGCUGUGAAGAUGCAGUGUACCCGCGGCAAGACGGAAAGACCCCGUGAACCUUUACUAUAGCUUGACACUGAACAUUGAGCCUUGAUGUGUAGGAUAGGUGGGAGGCUUUGAAGUGUGGACGCCAGUCUGCAUGGAGCCG
RNAcentral lists this ribosomal RNA (1611 nucleotides) under Escherichia coli 0.1288. RNAcentral's name for it is "bacterial LSU rRNA". It matches the Rfam family "Bacterial large subunit ribosomal RNA", at positions 591 to 2188 of the family's 2925-position model. Lineage: Bacteria; Pseudomonadati; Pseudomonadota; Gammaproteobacteria; Enterobacterales; Enterobacteriaceae. The record is from RNAcentral.